Potamilus streckersoni is the source of this 73-nucleotide non-coding RNA. NCBI's taxonomy places the organism in Eukaryota, Metazoa, Mollusca, Bivalvia, Unionida, Unionidae. The record is from the annotation of a GenBank genome assembly.
GCUCCGAUGGCCUAGUGGUUAGAGCGUCUGCCUAGGAUGCGGGAGGUCGUAGGUCCAAUCCCCGGCCGAGUCA